This is a long non-coding RNA of Sorex araneus (European shrew), 330 nucleotides long. RefSeq lists it as uncharacterized. The record is from RefSeq and is a predicted model, not a curated record. The transcript is spliced from 3 exons. Lineage: Eukaryota; Metazoa; Chordata; Mammalia; Eulipotyphla; Soricidae.
AAGAGACGGGCCCCAUGGAGGAGAAAGACAAAGGGACCAGGACAGGAGGAAAGAGAAAGACCAAAGACCACAGGUCAGUUCCAGAUGACCUCGGCCAACCAGACAGCGAAGUCAGGACAGGCAGGACCCCUGGCUGGGACCAGAUAAGACCUGGGGGUGGGCAGAGUACCCAUGUGGGCUCUCUGGACCAUCUUCCUGCUGGUGUGGCCCUUGAGGGUUCUCGGAUCAUCCCUCUGCCCAAAAGAGCCUUUCUACUUCCUCCUCGCCAUCAUGAAGAAGCUGGAAAAAAAGAAUGAUGGCACGCUCUAUACCCCAAAUGAUUUUUCGGUA